This 500-nucleotide ribosomal RNA is filed under the name Bombus sylvicola. RNAcentral's name for it is "partial 16S ribosomal RNA". The stretch from base 377 to 500 matches the Rfam family "Bacterial large subunit ribosomal RNA", at positions 2473 to 2597 of the family's 2925-position model. The record is from RNAcentral. Lineage: Eukaryota; Metazoa; Arthropoda; Insecta; Hymenoptera; Apidae.
GGCUUAAUGAUUUUAAUUUUAGGUCGAUCUGCCCAAUGAUUUAAAUAUUUAAUGGCUGCAGUAUAAUUGACUGUACAAAGGUAGCAUAAUCAAUUGUUUUUUAAUUAAAAACUGGAAUGAAAGAAUUAAUGAGAUAUAUACUGUCUCAUAUAUAUUUAAUUAAUUUAAAUUUUUAGUAAAAAUGCUAAAAUAAAUUUAUGGGACGAUAAGACCCUAUAGAAUUUUAUAUUAAUAUUUAAAUUUAUUAUUUAUUUUAGAUAUUAAUAUUUAAUUGGGAGGAUUAAUAAAUUUAAUUAACUUUAUUUUAAAUAAAAACUUUAAUUUAAGAAUAAUUAAUGAUCUUUUAUUAAAAAUUAUAAGAAUAAAUUACCUUAGGGAUAACAGCGUAAUAUCUUUUUAAAGAUCAUAUUAAUAAAGAUGAUUGCGACCUCGAUGUUGAAUUAAGAUAAAUUUUAAAUGGAGAAGUUUAAUAAUUAAGUCUGUUCGACUUUUAAAAUCUU